GAUGAACGCUGGCGGCGUGCCUAAUACAUGCAAGUCGAGCGAACGGACGAGAAGCUUGCUUCUCUGAUGUUAGCGGCGGACGGGUGAGUAACACGUGGAUAACCUACCUAUAAGACUGGGAUAACUUCGGGAAACCGGAGCUAAUACCGGAUGAUAUUUUGAACCGCAUGGUUCAAAAGUGAAAGACGGUCUUGCUGUCACUUAUAGAUGGAUCCGCGCUGCAUUAGCUAGUUGGUAAGGUAACGGCUUACCAAGGCAACGAUGCAUAGCCGACCUGAGAGGGUGAUCGGCCACACUGGAACUGAGACACGGUCCAGACUCCUACGGGAGGCAGAAGUAGGGAAUCUUCCGCAAUGGGCGAAAGCCUGACGGAGCAACGCCGCGUGAGUGAUGAAGGUCUUCGGAUCGUAAAACUCUGUUAUUAGGGAAGAACAUAUGUGUAAGUAACUGUGCACAUCUUGACGGUACCUAAUCAGAAAGCCACGGCUAACUACGUG
This 497-nucleotide ribosomal RNA is filed under the name uncultured bacterium. Its description in RNAcentral is "partial 16S ribosomal RNA". It matches the Rfam family "Bacterial small subunit ribosomal RNA", at positions 28 to 507 of the family's 1533-position model. The record is from RNAcentral.